This 649-nucleotide ribosomal RNA is filed under the name Polykrikos herdmaniae. RNAcentral describes it as "LSU rRNA". It matches the Rfam family "Eukaryotic large subunit ribosomal RNA", at positions 36 to 672 of the family's 3401-position model. Lineage: Eukaryota; Dinophyceae; Gymnodiniales; Gymnodiniaceae. The record is from RNAcentral.
AAGCAUAUAAGUAAGCGGAGGACAAUAAACUAAACAGGAUUCCCUUAGUAAUGGCGAAUGAACAGGGAUUUGCUCAUUGUGGAAAUCGAGGCCCUCGGCCCCGAAUUGUAAUCUCAAGACGCAUCGCCAANGACGGCGCAGGAGCAAGCCUCUUGGAAAAGAGCACCGUUGAGGGUGAGAGUCCCGUCUGUCUCCUGCAGCCCAUCGUGUACGGCAUGCGCUCGACGAGUCACGUUCCUCGGGAUUGGAGCGCAAACUGGGUGGUAAAUUUCAUCUCAGGCUAAACAUGGGUUCGAGACCGAUAGAAAACAAGUACCAUGAGGGAAAGAUGAAAAGGACUUUGAAAAGAGAGUUAAAAGUGCCUGAACUUGCUGAAAGGAAAGCGGAUGGAGCCAGUCGUGCGAGGCGAGAUUGUCUCGAAGGCAGGUGCAACUGCUUCGGCCGUAGCGUAAGCGCCGUCGGCGUUUGUUGCCACUGUCAUCUUGAUGCGUCUUGCCUGGGGCGUCACCGUCUGUUUGUUGGUGGGGUCAACUGUAGGUCCAUGGUCGCACUCCCCUGGGCGUGCAAACGGUCCUCCGAGAACCCACUACCAACCCGCUCGGUGACGAAAUGGUUCUCUUCGACCCGUCUUGAAACACGGNACCAAGGA